AUACGGAGGAUGCAAGCGUUAUCCGGAUUUAUUGGGUUUAAAGGGUGCGUAGGCUGUGGGGAAAGUCAGGGGUGAAAGCCCGGCGCUUAACGCCGGAACUGCCUUUGAUACUUCUCCGCUGGAAUACGGAUGCCGUGGGAGGAAUGAGUAGUGUAGCGGGGAAAUGCAUAGAUAUUACUCAGAACACCGAUUGCGAAGGCAUCUCACGAAUCCGUCAUUGACGCUGAGGCACGAAAGCGUGGGGAUCAAACAGGAUUAGAUACCCUGGUAUUCCACGCCGUAAACGAUGAUGACUAACCGUCGGCGAUAGACAGCCGGUGGCCAAGCGAAAGCGAUAAGUCAUCCACCUGGGGAGUACGUCGGCAACGAUGAAACUCAAAGGAAUUGACGGGG
Molecule: ribosomal RNA, 393 nt
Filed under: uncultured bacterium
Lineage: Bacteria
Description: partial 16S ribosomal RNA
Rfam family: Bacterial small subunit ribosomal RNA
Source: RNAcentral